This 985-nucleotide long non-coding RNA is filed under the name Felis catus (domestic cat). RNAcentral's name for it is "lncRNA (ENSFCAG00000052855.1)". The record is from RNAcentral. Lineage: Eukaryota; Metazoa; Chordata; Mammalia; Carnivora; Felidae.
UGAAUUGCUAGUCACUACAUCAGACCAGUGGCCUCCUCCAACAUAGGCGGCUGAGAGAAAUCACCUGCGUUUGGUACCCUCUCCGAAAUGGCUCAUCAAGCACAGCGAAUGACAAGAUUGGAGAGAGGAGGUGGGAAACCUAUCCCCGGAUGGCACAGCUGAGACAGAGGUAGGAAGAAGGGGAUCCGGCUCAUUUAUUUCCCUUUCAUUAGGCCCCUGAAAAAAAUAAAGACUGAGGAUUUAAUUGCACUGUUUGCUUCUAUCUCUAGAAAAGCUGAAUUAGUAAUUGCAUUAACUUGUUACUAAGCUUUGCUCUUAUGGGGUAAUAUAAUUCUAACUACUGCUUCCUAAUUAUAGGGUUUUCAUUAUUCUGCAAAUCCCAUUCAGCAUGUGUUCCAUUUUCACUUUUAUGAAGUGCUUCGUGGGAAAAUGGGGGCUGUGUCUUUGAAGGACCCAAGCUGAGCUGAAGCUGUGUCUUGCCCAAAGCCAUUACCUCCUGUGAAAAGCAGGGCGCCACUGUGAUUUUUAUCCUCCUUUGAUAAAUAAUGCUGUUGGCAAAGACCAUAUGCUCUGUCACAUGCUGAAGUUUGGUGGCACGGCACAACAGAGGGUAAUCACAUCAAGUCAGUCAUGGUUUUAUUGGGUGGUGGUAAUGGCAGAAGUAAUGAUAGUCAUUAAAAUCCUGCUGCAAAUGGCCUUGGGCCUUCAGACCACAGUUAACUCAGGAUAUGUCAAGGACAGUUCACUCCCAAAAGCUGUCUGGAAGGGAUUGCCCAUUAUUCCUAUUGUUUCCAAGGAGAGCUUUGCAUUUGAGAAUUACAGAUCCAGCAGAAGGCAGAGGUGGACCUUGGAUCUUCACCUUCUCUUGCAUCUACACUAUGAUGUUUUUGAUACUUCCAGAAGAUCUCCCUUGGGGGGAAUCAACAUGGAAACAUACAAAAUGGAGUUCAUUCGUGGAAAGAUGGCAAAUGGCUUUCCUACGUAG